UUCUCCUUAAAGUUUUAUUCUUGCUAAAAAGUUCUUUGUUAAUUGUGGUACAUGCUUGUUUUGUCGUGUUUAUUUUUCUUAAUGAAAUAUUUAGUUUUUUGCAGUGCUUCUAUUUGGUUUGUAUUUAGUUGAAAUUUCUAGACUUAGCAUUUUAAUUUUUCAUCGGCAAAGUUCGUGCCAGCUGCCGCGGUUAUACGAUAGAUGUUUUGGAAUUUUUGUUGGAUUAAUUGUAGUUAUUUUGUUUAUUUGAAAUGGUAUUUUGUAUUACUCAGGUGAAAUUGUGUAUUUUACUUCUGUUUCUUUUAAUUGGUUAGAUAAUUCUGUGAAAUUAUAAUAUUAGACUGGGAUUAGAUACCCCAUUAUAAUUAAUGUUAAAUUGUUUCUUGGGUAUUAUUAGUUAGGUUCUUGAAACCCAAAGAAUUUGGCGGUAUCUUAGUCUUUUUAGAGGAACCUGCUUCGUAAUCGAUAGUCCUCGAUAAAUCUUGCUUUAUUUUGUAAUUUACAGUUUGUAUAUCGCCGUCGUUAGGAUUUCUUUUUAGAGAUUAAUUUCCUGGAAAUACAACAUUUUAUUGAGCGUCAGGUCAAGGUGCAGCUAAUGGUAAAGUGAUUAGUGGGUUACAAUAAUUUUAUUUAUUACGGAUGUUUGUUGUAAGAUGAUAUUGAAGGUGGAUUUAAUAGUAAAUUUUAUUAGAGAAUAAUUUUGAUUUUAGCUCUAAGGUGUGUACACAUCGCCCGUCGCUCUCGUUUAUUUAGGCGAGAUAAGUCGUAACAUAGUAGGUGUACUGGAAAGUGUACCUAGAAUGAAAAAU
Molecule: non-coding RNA, 809 nt
Filed under: Tricholepidion gertschi
Lineage: Eukaryota; Metazoa; Arthropoda; Insecta; Zygentoma; Lepidotrichidae
Description: 12S ribosomal RNA
Rfam family: Microsporidia small subunit ribosomal RNA (bases 386-798)
Source: RNAcentral